Thoreauomyces humboldtii is the source of this 74-nucleotide non-coding RNA. NCBI's taxonomy places the organism in Eukaryota, Fungi, Chytridiomycota, Chytridiomycetes, Spizellomycetales, Powellomycetaceae. The record is from the annotation of a GenBank genome assembly.
GCUCCCUUAGCUCAGUUGGUAGUAGCGUCGUGCUAAUAACGCGAAGGUCAUCAGUUCAACCCUGAUAGGGAGCA